GGUUGCUUUUGGUUGUGGAUUUG
RNAcentral lists this non-coding RNA (23 nucleotides) under Arabidopsis thaliana (thale cress). The record is from RNAcentral. Lineage: Eukaryota; Viridiplantae; Streptophyta; Magnoliopsida; Brassicales; Brassicaceae.